GCUAUACACCAUAUAAAAAUUACUAUGCUGCCUACCUCUUACAAAUGAAGAUAACGCUAAAAAUUAUAUAUUUAGUUAAUACCUAUGCUAGGAUUAGUAUUAUAUAUCAAAUUAAGCAAAAAUCUGAAUUAAUUAAAAAAUAAUUCAACAAAAAAUAAAAUAAAAAAUAAGAAGUAAGAGAAAGGAACUCGGCAAACAUCCAACCUGCCUGUUUAUCAAAAACAUGGCUCCCCGAUAAAAACAAAAAUGAGGAGUCCAACCUGCCCAAUGAUUUCUUAAAUGGCCGCGGUACUCUGACCGUGCAAAGGUAGCAUAAUCAUUUGCCUUAUAAUUGAAGGCUAGUAUGAAUGGUUACACAUGGUUGAAACUGUCUCUCUCUUAUUUUCUAAAAAUUAACAUUUAGGUGAAGAGGCUUAAAUUUUAUUAAAGGACAAGAAGACCCUGUCGAGCUUAAAAGAUAUUUGGAGAUGUUGAUAUCAUAGAAAUAAAAAUCUUUAUAGCUUUUUAGUUGGGGCGACUAAGGAACAAAAAAAGCUUCUUUCAUAAAAAAAAAUACACCAAUAAUGAUCCAGUAUAAGCUGACCAGGAAAAUUAGUUACCGCAGGGAUAACAGCAUAAUCUCUCUUGAGAGACCAAAUCGAAAGAGAGGGUUGUGACCUCGAUGUUGGACUAGAAUAUCCUGGAGAUGCAGAUGUCUCUAAAGGUUGGUCUGUUCGACCAUUAAAAUUCU
Molecule: ribosomal RNA, 730 nt
Filed under: Limnotrochus thomsoni
Lineage: Eukaryota; Metazoa; Mollusca; Gastropoda; Thiaridae
Description: partial 16S ribosomal RNA
Rfam family: Bacterial large subunit ribosomal RNA
Source: RNAcentral